Long non-coding RNA from Drosophila persimilis, 493 nucleotides. RefSeq lists it as uncharacterized. NCBI's taxonomy places the organism in Eukaryota, Metazoa, Arthropoda, Insecta, Diptera, Drosophilidae. The record is from RefSeq and is a predicted model, not a curated record. The transcript is spliced from 3 exons.
UUUAAGUUACACAGUAGCCCGCUUCAUUUCAGUCAGUAGGUUGUGCCUUGGUUUUUAGUUCUGCUUUACAUAUUUAGCAGGUGCAGCAAUGUGUGGAACGCAACUUCGUCCUGGUGCUACGAUCGGCAAAUCCUUCGAAUUCAAUUAAGAAAAUGUUCAGCGCCUGCAAGUGGUUUGUAGUGGAAGUGUUCAUUUACCUUGUACAAAGAAAGAUGGUUAUUACUCAGAACUCUGCAGGUCCAUUCCACUUUAAAUGGAAUUUCUCAGCCAGCGUUUGCUCUUGCUGCUGCUCGUAGAAGAUAAUGGAAUCCCCACCUAUGGAUAUCCACCGCCUCGACUAAUAAGAACAAUUUGCAAAGGCCGAGCCGGUGUACACAACGGUGACGACUGAUGAUCUGGCCAUAAUCGUAUGGGACAAUGUGACAAGUAAGCAAGAAAAGCUAUGCGCCUAAUUCGAACUAAAAUCGAUGUCAAUCAAUUGCAUUUGUGGAUG